UACGUAGGGUGCGAGCGUUAAUCGGAAUUACUGGGCGUAAAGCGUGCGCAGGCGGCGCGUUAAGACAGGUGUGAAAGCCCCGAGCUUAACUUGGGAAUUGCGCUUGUGACUGGCGGGCUGGAGUGUGGCAGAGGGGGGUAGAAUUCCACGUGUAGCAGUGAAAUGCGUAGAGAUGUGGAGGAAUACCGAUGGCGAAGUCAGCCCCCUGGGCCAACACUGACGCUCAUGCACGAAAGCGUGGGGAGCAAACAGG
RNAcentral lists this ribosomal RNA (253 nucleotides) under uncultured bacterium. RNAcentral describes it as "partial 16S ribosomal RNA". It matches the Rfam family "Bacterial small subunit ribosomal RNA", at positions 524 to 776 of the family's 1533-position model. The record is from RNAcentral.